RNAcentral lists this ribosomal RNA (327 nucleotides) under uncultured eukaryote. Its description in RNAcentral is "partial 18S ribosomal RNA". It matches the Rfam family "Eukaryotic small subunit ribosomal RNA", at positions 1470 to 1796 of the family's 1831-position model. The record is from RNAcentral.
CCCUUAGAUGUCCAGGGCCGCACGCGCGCUACAAUGGAUGAAUCAACGCGUCAUCCUGGCCCGAAAGGGUUGGGGAACCGCUGAACCUCAUCCGUGGUUGGGAUUGGGGUUUGUAAUUAUUCCCCAUGAACUAGGAAUUCCCAGUAAGCGCGAGUCAUAAGCUCGCGUUGAUUACGUCCCUGCCCUUUGUACACACCGCCCGUCGCUACUACCGAUUGGAUGGUUUAGUGAGAUCCUCGGAUUGGUCACGGCACGGUGGCAACACUGCGUCGGUGUGCCGAGAAGACGAUCAAACUUGAUCAUCUAGAGGAAGUAAAAGUCGUAACA